UAAAGGUGUGAGCUUGUUUGAUUUUUUGUAUCUCGCCAUUGAAUUGGUCUUGAAGCUUUCCGAAAACAGAUAUGUCUUUGUCUCGGAAGAAGCAAGGAAGGUCACGGUACCGGAGGAAGCUAUCCAUCCCAGGUUUUAUCACCAGAACGUGGGUGGUCAUCGGGAAGCCCAUCAGGUACCGUCUUAAAGGUAAACCCAGGAUAACGGCCAAAACGAGCUUCGAUGUCAGUGUGCUUGGCAAGUCGUUUUUGGUUGUAGGUUGUGUUUAGGAAGGUUACCUUAAGAUUUGCUAGGCAUAAAAUUUCUGCUAAGUUUAGCAUUGGGGUUAAAUGGCCUUGCAAUGGGACUGGAAAGAUUAAAACAUGAGGUGUAGGAUAUGAUUUGUGUUCCAUUUUUGGUACUACUUACAAUAUUUUUGGUCUUGGAAUUUAGAUUGGUAUAUUUGCCAAGUUGGGUGUAUAAUAUAUUUGCCAAGUUGGGUGUAUAAUAUAUUUGCCAAGUUGGGUGUAUAAUAUAUAGUUGUAGUAUUAGUAUAUGUUGGAUAGAAGUAGAAGAGUAUUGUUUCCUCGAGAGAAACGUGGAUCUUAAUUUCUGAAUCAUGCAAUUUUGUUACUUUUGUCUAUGUAUACGAUGGUACGAUAUUGAAUCUGAGUGAAUUCGAAUGUUGACAUGGAAAAGUUUGUACAUUUUAAUUCUAACAAAUUGUAAAACAUGUAAAAUACGAAGUAUUAUUUAAAAGUUAGUUUACGAAAAAAACAAAAGGAAUUAUUGGUCUCCUUGGCUCGUGCCUCAUGGGCUCGUGGCCCUCGUAGGCCUCGUUGGGCAAUUAUUUUUGUAAAGUAUAAUACUUUAGUCAGUGUUAUGUCUGGAUUGAUACUCUAAAUAUUAUUGUGAUAAGAAUGAUUACUAGCUUU
Long non-coding RNA from Chenopodium quinoa (quinoa), 914 nucleotides. RefSeq lists it as uncharacterized. NCBI's taxonomy places the organism in Eukaryota, Viridiplantae, Streptophyta, Magnoliopsida, Caryophyllales, Amaranthaceae. The record is from RefSeq and is a predicted model, not a curated record. The transcript has 2 exons.